This is a non-coding RNA of Camelina sativa (false flax), 625 nucleotides long. The record is from RefSeq and is a predicted model, not a curated record. Lineage: Eukaryota; Viridiplantae; Streptophyta; Magnoliopsida; Brassicales; Brassicaceae.
CAAUGAAUACUGGUUUGUUCGUUGGGUUGAAAUAUCGAUUGCUAGGUUAAAGUAAUAUCGAUUGAACCUAGGGUUAAGGGGGGGGGGAAUCCAUGGAUAUUCCUCUAUCUCGUCUUAACUAACAUCUGAAGAAUAUCAAUUGUUUCUCAACCGAUGAGAUUUGGGAUUGAGGAUCAGAAUCAACCACAAGCCAAGAAAAAGCGAGGUAGGCCUAGGAAGUACACUCAUGAUGGUAGCAUUGUGUUGGGUUUAGCUCCCACGUCUCCUCUUCUCUCCACCGUUUCUAAUUCUUACGGUGUUGUGGUGAAGGUGGUGUUGGAGAUAGUGGAGGAAAUGGAACUCUGUUGAUCCACAUGGUAAACGAGACGAGGAGGACCUCCUGGUUCUAGCAAGAAGCAGCUUGAUGCUUUAGGAGGCGCUGCAUGAGUUGGGUUUACACCUCAUGUCAUCGAAGUGAAGACAUGAGAGGUAAAGUGUUGUUGUUCUGUUUUAGUAAUCUCAAAAUGUGUUUUAUUGCAUCAUUAUUAAGAUCCUAGCAUACACUGAACAACACUUACUUAAACUUAUUAUUUUCUACUCACAUGUACAUACUUGACACUUGCAUUGCAAUACAUGUCUAAGAUGA